RNAcentral lists this long non-coding RNA (324 nucleotides) under Brassica napus (rape). RNAcentral's name for it is "long non-coding RNA (BNAP_LNC006960)". Lineage: Eukaryota; Viridiplantae; Streptophyta; Magnoliopsida; Brassicales; Brassicaceae. The record is from RNAcentral.
AAAUACCAUAAAACAAGAUCCAUUCGGUAUUUACGUCGGGUUCGGAUCGGUUCGGAUUCAUUUUUAUCGGAUCGGAUUCGGUUCAGAUUUUCGGGUUCGGUUUAUUUGCCCAGCCCUAGUUCAACUGAGAGCAACAAAACUGUUUUUAAUGUUUGAUCUUCCUCACAAUGAUGGAGUUAGGCUUUUAAUAUACAGUUACGUUACAGAAGAGUGGUAUUGAAUCUAAUAAAAACAAAAAAAAAACAUGAUGUGAAUCUUUGACAUUGAUGUAAACCCAUCAUCUCUUUUUUCUUACACACUCUAACUUACUUUUCCACCCAUCAA